AGGGUCUCUCUGUGUCUCCAAGGCUGGAGUGCAGUGGCGUGAUCAUAACUAACUACAGUCUCAAACUCCUGGGCUCAAGGGGUCCUCCCGCCUCAGCCUCCUGAGCUAGGACCACAGAUAUUCCCAUAAAAUGUAUCAGGUUGUUGCAGAUCAAACCGAUGGACAGAAGAUGGGAUAAUGAGCAAAGAUGCAGCACGUAACUACUGUGUCACUUCUCAGCUACAAUGGCUCUGGGCCCUUGACUUGUUUGUUCAUUUUUGUUUAUGCUGAUUCAAGUCCUCUGAAACUCUGAAACAAGAUACAACCAUAAUAACCUUGAGAUAAUGCUUGAAGCAGUAAAGUGAGGACUGGAAAAUAAAUCAUGUGUCCUGAGGCUUCCACUCAACACACGCUAAAACCUCAAAGCAGACAUCAGUAUCAACAGAGAUCCUAGAGCAGCUUUUUAGAGCUGACUUGAGGAGAAGGUGAGGGGUCUCUUAAUACUAAUAGAGAGUGGGGGAAAUCUCAUUUAUUUUUUUUUCCAUUCUCUAGUGCCCCAGUCCCCAAUCAAUCUUUUGGUGGUAGCAGUAGUGGCAGCAGCAACAACAAAGAUACACAGAUUUCAAGUGUCGUGUUCUCAGCUCAGUGAUCAUCCUACUAGAGUCACUAUUUCAUCCAUCAUAUUUCACCCAAUAUAUUCACGCUUACAGCUGAUGAAGAUGACAACCCAGAAAUGCCAACUAUCAUAGACAAAACCCCAAGAAUAGCCUCUCUCUAGCCAAUACACCAGGAAAGAGGCAGGCUAGCAAGACAGAACUUUUAGACAAUAUACCUCUCUACUGCAGUCAACCACCACACCAAAUGGUGGUCACACCCACACCAUCAAAGGCUGAGUGAGGAGCCUAGAUUUCCACCAUCGUUGGUCUAUAAUGAUGCACCCCAAUCUUUCCACCAAGCCAGUGUCAGAAAAGACCUAGCAGGGAGCCAGGAUGUUCAUCUCCAUCAACAAGUAACAAGAGUCCCCCCUCAUGAUGUAUGUGGAACACUGGCAACCACAUGGGGAGCCUAAACUCCCACUCCCUCCCAGUAGUAAUAAGGUGCCCUCUGGCUUGUCUCCCACUGGAGUGCUGUUGGAGGAGGCACAGUGAAGAAGCAAGACUUUCACAACUGCUCAGCACUAGUGAAGCCAUCCCCCUCAGUGUGCUAUGAAUAGAGGCUGGGGAACAGUUAAAAGACACUGUUGCACUUUCUAGCCAGGGUAAUAGCAAUGGAAGCUAAGAAGGAAGCUGAAACUCCCAAACUCGCCAAGCAAUCAUUACUAGCCCCCCACCUAGAGUGUCAAUGGAGGUCAAGUGGAGAACCUGGACUUCUACUUCACAUGGCAGUAAGAAGGCAGUGCCCACCCCCUCCAUCCCUGGAGCAGUCUCAGAGGAAGCCAGCUAAAAGAGAAGGUUGAACUAAGAUUCAGAGUUUUCUGGUAUAAAAUUAAAAAUGUCCAGGUUUCUAUUUUUGUAACUAUAAUAAAAUGUGGUAUUUAUACACAAUGGAAUAGUAUGCAUCAGUUUAAAAUAUGCCUAUCAUUAGUGACAGCAUGGAUGAACCUGGAGGACAUUACGUUAAGUAUAUGCCAGGCAUUGGUUCACUCAUAUGUUGAACCUAAAAGUGUUGAUCUCAUAGAAGUAGGGAAUAGAAUGGAG
Molecule: long non-coding RNA, 1676 nt
Filed under: Homo sapiens (human)
Lineage: Eukaryota; Metazoa; Chordata; Mammalia; Primates; Hominidae
Description: HSALNT0106941
Source: RNAcentral